Molecule: ribosomal RNA, 276 nt
Filed under: uncultured bacterium
Lineage: Bacteria
Description: partial 16S ribosomal RNA
Rfam family: Bacterial small subunit ribosomal RNA
Source: RNAcentral
CCUCCGCCGGCGACCGGCGCACGGGUGAGUAACACGUAUGCAACCUGGCCGUGACAGAUGGAUAACCGGGAGAAAUCCCGCCUAAUACAACAUAAUGCCGGGAGGGGACAUCCCCUGCCGGUCAAAGGGGGCGACCCCGGUCAUGGAUGGGCAUGCGGCGCAUUAGGUAGUUGGUGGGGCAACGGCCCACCAAGCCGACGAUGCGUAGGGGUUCUGAGAGGAAGGUCCCCCACAUUGGAACUGAGACACGGUCCAAACUCCUACGGAAGGCAGCAG